Long non-coding RNA from Nyctereutes procyonoides (raccoon dog), 842 nucleotides. RefSeq lists it as uncharacterized. The transcript has 4 exons. The record is from RefSeq and is a predicted model, not a curated record. Lineage: Eukaryota; Metazoa; Chordata; Mammalia; Carnivora; Canidae.
GCGUGGCUGGGAGUGGACGGUGGAAGGUGAGUCUCCGCCCGAAGAGGCCGCCGAGGAGGCCGCGUGGUCCCAGGAGGAAACUUUCAAAGGUGUUUCUGCAACAUAGCUCCAGUUGGAGGUGCUGCUUAAACUCUUCAAGGUCAAGAUGAAUCAAACUCAGAGGAGGCUUUACCCCUGGACCAUGCAAGCUUCUGAGGUCUGGGAGGAACUGCUGACAGUGAAAGUGGAGAUGGAAAGUCGCCUCCCAAUGCAGGAAUCCCGACUGAGAUGGAGUAAUCCCCUGGCGAGGGAAAUUUAUUUGAAAGCACUUUCGACAGGAGAUCCCUGGGCCCUGCGAGGCCCUCACCUGGUUGUGGGAGCUGUGUCAACGCUGGCUGCGCCCUGAGACCCACAGCAAGGAGCAGAUCCUAGAGCUGCUGGUGCAGGAACUGUUUCUGAUCAUCCUCCCGAGAAGCUCCAGGCCUGGGUGCAGGAGCAGCACCUCGAGAGCGGGGACGAAGUGGUGACUACCAUGCUGGUGGACCUGGAGAGGGAGCUAGAUGAAUCACAGAAUGAGGUGGUAGCUACACACAGGGGCAAGAAGUCCUCUCCAGAGGGACAGUGCCUCUGGGACAGCAGACAUCACUGAGGCUUCAGUCCCAGCCCAGAGGACCCCAGCCCACAUGGGAUGCUGCUCAGGAGUCCCACCCUUGGAGAGACAGCAUGAGGCGGGGUCCGUGGACUCUUCCCGAAUGGCAAAGAGGUUCACCAUACAAAAAGAGCCCGAGACCUUCUCAAUCUGACAGAAACGGCCCUCGCUCCGAUCUUGAGACUUCAGGAAGAAACAGAGCACGGCUCUCAGA